This 676-nucleotide ribosomal RNA is filed under the name uncultured Pseudomonas sp. RNAcentral's name for it is "bacterial SSU rRNA". It matches the Rfam family "Bacterial small subunit ribosomal RNA", at positions 61 to 732 of the family's 1533-position model. Lineage: Bacteria; Pseudomonadati; Pseudomonadota; Gammaproteobacteria; Pseudomonadales; Pseudomonadaceae. The record is from RNAcentral.
GUCGAGCGGAUGAAGAGAGCUUGCUCUCUGAUUCAGCGGCGGACGGGUGAGUAAUGCCUAGGAAUCUGCCUGGUAGUGGGGGACAACGUCUCGAAAGGGACGCUAAAACCGCAUACGUCCUACGGGAGAAAGCAGGGGACCUUCGGGCCUUGCGCUAUCAGAUGAGCCUAGGUCGGAUUAGCUAGUUGGUGAGGUAAUGGCUCACCAAGGCGACGAUCCGUAACUGGUCUGAGAGGAUGAUCAGUCACACUGGAACUGAGACACGGUCCAGACUCCUACGGGAGGCAGCAGUGGGGAAUAUUGGACAAUGGGCGAAAGCCUGAUCCAGCCAUGCCGCGUGUGUGAAGAAGGUCUUCGGAUUGUAAAGCACUUUAAGUUGGGAGGAAGGGCAGUAAGCGAAUACCUUGCUGUUUUGACGUUACCGACAGAAUAAGCACCGGCUAACUCUGUGCCAGCAGCCGCGGUAAUACAGAGGGUGCAAGCGUUAAUCGGAAUUACUGGGCGUAAAGCGCGCGUAGGUGGUUUGUUAAGUUGAAUGUGAAAUCCCCGGGCUCAACCUGGGAACUGCAUCCAAAACUGGCAAGCUAGAGUAGGGCAGAGGGUGGUGGAAUUUCCUGUGUAGCGGUGAAAUGCGUAGAUAUAGGAAGGAACACCAGUGGCGAAGGCGACCACCUGG